This 84-nucleotide ribosomal RNA is filed under the name Erinaceus europaeus (western European hedgehog). Lineage: Eukaryota; Metazoa; Chordata; Mammalia; Eulipotyphla; Erinaceidae. The record is from RNAcentral.
GUCUAUGGCCAUUUCCCCUGAAUGUACCUAGUCUUAUCUGAUCUCAGAAACUAAACAGGGCCAGACUUGGCUAGUGCUUAUAUG